Molecule: ribosomal RNA, 497 nt
Filed under: uncultured bacterium
Lineage: Bacteria
Description: partial 16S ribosomal RNA
Rfam family: Bacterial small subunit ribosomal RNA
Source: RNAcentral
GAUGAACGCUGGCGGCGUGCCUAAUACAUGCAAGUCGAGCGAACAGACGAGGAGCUUGCUCCUCUGACGUUAGCGGCGGACGGGUGAGUAACACGUGGAUAACCUACCUAUCAGACUGGGAUCACUUCGGGAAACCGGAGCUAAUACCGGAUAAUAUAUUGAACCGCAUGGUUCAAUAGUGAAAGACGGUUUUGCUGUCACUUAUAGAUGGAUCCGCGCCGCAUUAGCUAGUUGGUAAGGUAACGGCUUACCAAGGCAACGAUGCGUAGCCGACCUGAGAGGCGGAUCGGCCACACUGGAACUGAGACACGGUCCAGACUCCUACGGGAGGCAGCAGUAGGGAAUCUUCCGCAAUGGGCGAAAGCCUGACGGAGCAAGGCCGCGUGAGUGAUGAAGGUCUUCGGAUCGUAAAACUCUGUUAUUAGGGAAGAACAAAUGUGUAAGUAACUAUGCACGUCUUGACGGUACCUAAUCAGAAAGCCACGGCUAACUACGUG